This 451-nucleotide ribosomal RNA is filed under the name uncultured organism. RNAcentral describes it as "partial 16S ribosomal RNA". It matches the Rfam family "Bacterial small subunit ribosomal RNA", at positions 329 to 797 of the family's 1533-position model. The record is from RNAcentral.
ACGUACACUCCUGCGGGAGGCAGCAGUGGGGAAUAUUGGACAAUGGGCGCAAGCCUGAUCCAGCCAUGCCGCGUGAGUGAUGAAGGCCCUAGGGUUGUAAAGCUCUUUCACCGGUGAAGAUAAUGACGGUAACCGGAGAAGAAGCCCCGGCUAACUUCGUGCCAGCAGCCGCGGUAAUACGAAGGGGGCUAGCGUUGUUCGGAUUUACUGGGCGUAAAGCGCACGUAGGCGGACUAUUAAGUCAGGGGUGAAAUCCCGGGGCUCAACCCCGGAACUGCCUUUGAUACUGGUAGUCUUGAGUUCGAGAGAGGUGAGUGGAAUUCCGAGUGGAGAGGUGAAAUUCGUAGAUAUUCGGAGGAACACCAGUGGCGAAGGCGGCUCACUGGCUCGAUACUGACGCUGAGGUGCGAAAGCGUGGGGAGCAAACAGGAUUAGAAACCCGUGUAGUCCC